This 469-nucleotide ribosomal RNA is filed under the name uncultured bacterium. RNAcentral's name for it is "bacterial SSU rRNA". It matches the Rfam family "Bacterial small subunit ribosomal RNA", at positions 328 to 795 of the family's 1533-position model. The record is from RNAcentral.
CGUCCAGACUCCUACGGGAGGCAGCAGUGAGGAAUAUUGGUCAAUGGCCGGAAGGCUGAACCAGCCAAGCCGCGUGAAGGACGAAGGUGCAAAGCCUUGUAAACUUCUUUUGUCAAGGGACAAAAUCAGGCUCGAGAGCCUGACCGAGGGUACUUGAAGAAAAAGCAUCGGCUAACUCCGUGCCAGCAGCCGCGGUAAUACGGAGGAUGCGAGCGUUAUCCGGAUUUAUUGGGUUUAAAGGGUGCGUAGGCGGAUUGUUAACACAGUGGUAAACGCCCGGGGCCCCCCCCCGGCGAGCCGUUGAAACUGGCUGUCUUGAGAUGUCGAGAGGUAUGCGGAAUGCGCAGUGUAGCGGUGAAAUGCUUAGAUAUUGCGCAGAACUCCGAUUGCGAAGGCAGCAUACCGGCGGCGAUCUGACGCUGAGGCACGAAAGCGUGGGGAUCGAACAGGAUUAGAUACCCCGGUAUCC